AAGUCGUAACAAGGUUUCCGUAGGUGAACCUGCGGAAGGAUCAUUAGCGAGAGCCUGCUGCAGACUCGUGCGAGUCUGUGCGCAAGCGCGCCGUCCUUGUGUUGUGUGUGACGUGUUGUGUGUGCAAUGCCACUGUUGCCAAGGUGGCGGUGGCGUCUGCGCAUGCGCAUUUUUUUCACUCCAUUUCAUCGCAUUUAUUCUAAUUACUGCUGCUCGCAUGAGCACAAACAACCGAAAACUGCCAGCAAUGGAUUACUCGGUUCUC
Molecule: unclassified non-coding RNA, 265 nt
Filed under: fungal sp.
Lineage: Eukaryota; Fungi
Description: partial internal transcribed spacer region
Rfam family: Eukaryotic small subunit ribosomal RNA (bases 1-46)
Source: RNAcentral